RNAcentral lists this ribosomal RNA (366 nucleotides) under uncultured organism. RNAcentral's name for it is "bacterial SSU rRNA". It matches the Rfam family "Bacterial small subunit ribosomal RNA", at positions 526 to 896 of the family's 1533-position model. The record is from RNAcentral.
CGGAGGAUCCAAGCGUUAUCCGGAAUCAUUGGGCUUAAAGGGUCCGUAGGCGGUUUUAUAAGUCAGUGGUGAAAUCUGGUCGCUCAACGAUCAAACGGCCAUUGAUACUGUAGAACUUGAAUUACUUGGAAGUAACUAGAAUAUGUAGUGUAGCGGUGAAAUGCUUAGAGAUUACAUGGAAUACCAAUUGCGAAGGCAGGUUACUACAAGUGGAUUGACGCUGAUGGACGAAAGCGUGGGGAGCGAACAGGAUUAGAUACCCUGGUAGUCCACGCCGUAAACGAUGGAUACUAGCUGUUCGGAGCAAUCUGAGUGGCUAAGCGAAAGUGAUAAGUAUCCCACCUGGGGAGUACGAACGCAAGUUUG